UACGUAGGGUGCAAGCGUUGUCCGGAAUCAUUGGGCGUAAAGCGCGUGUAGGCGGCUUGUUAAGUCCGCUCUGAAAGCCCGGGGCUCAACCCCGGGAGGCGGGUGGAUACUGGCAAGCUCGAGUCCGGAAGAGGAGACUGGAAUUCCCGGUGUAGCGGUGAAAUGCGCAGAUAUCAGGAAGAACACCAAUGGCGAAAGCAGCUCUCUGGGACGGUACUGACGCUGAGACGCGAAAGCGUGGGGAGCGAACAGG
This 253-nucleotide ribosomal RNA is filed under the name uncultured bacterium. RNAcentral's name for it is "partial 16S ribosomal RNA". It matches the Rfam family "Bacterial small subunit ribosomal RNA", at positions 524 to 776 of the family's 1533-position model. The record is from RNAcentral.